CAGCAGCCACGGUAAUACGUAGGUCCCGAGCGUUGUCCGGAUUUAUUGGGCGUAAAGCGAGCGCAGGCGGUUAGAUAAGUCUGAAGUUAAAGGCUGUGGCUUAACCAUAGUACGCUUUGGAAACUGUUUAACUUGAGUGCAAGAGGGGAGAGUGGAAUUCCAUGUGUAGCGGUGAAAUGCGUAGAUAUAUGGAGGAACACCGGUGGCGAAAGCGGCUCUCCGGCUUGUAACUGACGCUGAGGCUCGAAAGCGUGGGGAGCAAACAGGAUUAGAUACCCCCGUAGUCCCUGUCUUUAUACAC
RNAcentral lists this ribosomal RNA (301 nucleotides) under uncultured bacterium. RNAcentral describes it as "partial 16S ribosomal RNA". It matches the Rfam family "Bacterial small subunit ribosomal RNA", at positions 509 to 810 of the family's 1533-position model. The record is from RNAcentral.